UUUGGUUCACAGGGGAGCGCAAGCUGAGAAAGGUAAGACCUGACCCUCAAAACCUGAUCUGGAUAAUACCAGCGAAGGGAGUGAUGUACACACAAGU
Molecule: non-coding RNA, 97 nt
Filed under: Desulforamulus reducens
Lineage: Bacteria; Bacillati; Bacillota; Clostridia; Eubacteriales; Peptococcaceae
Also listed under: 1 other name
Description: Desulfotomaculum reducens TPP sequence
Rfam family: TPP riboswitch aptamer (THI element)
About the family: Vitamin B(1) in its active form thiamin pyrophosphate (TPP) is an essential coenzyme that is synthesised by coupling of pyrimidine and thiazole moieties in bacteria. The previously detected thiamin-regulatory element, thi box was extended, resulting in a new, highly conserved RNA secondary structure, the THI element, which is widely distributed in eubacteria and also occurs in some archaea. Analysis of operon structures identified a large number of new candidate thiamin-regulated genes, mostly transporters, in various prokaryotic organisms.
Source: RNAcentral